CAUGUGUAAGCGAAGCUUUUAGUGGAGCGGUGAAAGGCUCAGUAACGGGCGAUUUAUUUGUUCUCCUGUGACGGACAACAUCGGGAAACUGAUGGGAAAACGUCUAAGUUGCAGUUAAUUGAUUGUGACGUAAACGAUUUUGUGCAGGAGAGUAAGAUGCCAUCCUAUCAGUUAGUAAGUAGGGUAAGGGCCUACUUAGACGA
Molecule: ribosomal RNA, 203 nt
Filed under: Dictyocoela duebenum (nom. nud.)
Lineage: Eukaryota; Fungi; Microsporidia
Description: Dictyocoela duebenum partial small subunit ribosomal RNA
Rfam family: Microsporidia small subunit ribosomal RNA
Source: RNAcentral